RNAcentral lists this ribosomal RNA (497 nucleotides) under uncultured bacterium. RNAcentral describes it as "partial 16S ribosomal RNA". It matches the Rfam family "Bacterial small subunit ribosomal RNA", at positions 28 to 507 of the family's 1533-position model. The record is from RNAcentral.
GAUGAACGCUGGCGGCGUGCCUAAUACAUGCAAGUCGAGCGAACAGACGAGGAGCUUGCUCCUCUGACGUUAGCGGCGGACGGGUGAGUAACACGUGGAUAACCUACCUAUAAGACUGGGAUAACUUCGGGAAACCGGAGCUAAUACCGGAUAAUAUAUUGAACCGCAUGGUUCAAUAGUGAAAGACGGUUUUGCUGUCACUUAUAGAUGGAUCCGCGCCGCAUUAGCUAGUUGGUAAGGUAACGGCUUACCAAGGCAACGAUGCGUAGCCGACCUGAGAGGGUGAUCGGCCACGCUGGAGCUGAGACACGGUCCAGACUCCUACGGGAGGCAGCAGUAGGGAAUGUUCCGCAAUGGGCGAAAGCCUGACGGAGCAACGCCGCGUGAGUGAUGAAGGUCUUCGGAUCGUAAAACUCUGUUAUUAGGGAAGAACAAAUGUGUAAGUAACUAUGCACGUCUUGACGGUACCUAAUCAGAAAGCCACGGCUAACUACGUG